This 1121-nucleotide long non-coding RNA is filed under the name Urocitellus parryii (Arctic ground squirrel). Its description in RNAcentral is "lncRNA (ENSUPAG00010003117.1)". The record is from RNAcentral. Lineage: Eukaryota; Metazoa; Chordata; Mammalia; Rodentia; Sciuridae.
GAAGCCUUGGGUAGGUGGUCAGAGGAAUUCGUUUCUGGGCUUGGGCUCCUGCCCCCUGGCCCAGCGGCCGAGAACAAGGACCCACAACAGACCUGACACACUGACCCAUCCGCGGGCCCUAGGGACCGACCGACAGCAGCGCUGCCCGGCCUCCCCCGCCUGCAGCGGCGAGAGGGGGCAUCCGCCAGGUCCUAGAGCCCUUUGUCCCCGCUUUGUCUAAAAGACUCAGAAUUCAUCAAACCGGGAACCGAUAUCUCAGACAAGCCUUGCAGAGAGUGCAAUGGCCAUCCCCGGUUUCGUCAUUCAGGCGGGGCCACAGGAAAUUUGGCCUGGCAGCGAUGCUCUAGGGCUGACAGUGGGUUGCUGGGGGUGGGAGGAGGUUUUGGACGAUCUCGACCUUUAUUCGUUAAAGGUUUAUCAAUCCGGGACACGCGGACACUGAUGGAAGAGAGAACCAAACUUACAUCAGACACUCUGGACCGCCGGUUCCACCACUUGCUGGGAGCCUUAAAGACAUCAGAUCAAGGUGAUGAGAUGAAGGACGAGGAGUUGGAGCAAAUCACCCAUGACUCAGGGGGAAAGAAGAGUUGGGGAUGUCUUGUGUGAGUGAGUCUUCCUGUUGCUCAGGAGAGGAGAUAAGGGAAUUAAUCUACCAGAGCAACAUCCAUUUCUCCCACCAGGCUAACUGAGCUGGGGACACCAGGCCAGCUGAGCACAGACUAAGGUGGUUUUCUUUUUCUUCCAUUCCCCCCCACCCCAGGGCUUGGACCCAGGCUUGAUGCAUGCUAUGCACAGCGUGUGCUGGACCCUGAGCUUCACCUCUAGCCCUUCAUUUCCUUUUUUCUCCUUUUUUUCUUUUUGACAGAAAAAAAGAAAAGAAAUAUAUCAGAAAAAUCUGGAACAUUAACCAAGAAAAAUAGUAAAAACUAAGCGGAUAGUAAUGAGCAAAGGUAUCCAAAGUCAGUUUGGGAAGGUCAGUUUAUUAGGAAUCACUCAUUUAUCCAACAAACACCAUCAUGGACUAUAUGCCUAGAGGUGUGCCCGGCAUCUUUUUUUUUUCAUUCACUGUCUCUUUAAUAACUGUUAAUAAAAGAGUUCCUUGCAAAUGGAAAGUGUGAUGU